AGUGAACGCUGGCGGUAGGCCUAACACAUGCAAGUCGAACGGCAGCACAGUAAGAGCUUGCUCUUACGGGUGGCGAGUGGCGGACGGGUGAGGAAUACAUCGGAAUCUACUUUUUCGUGGGGGAUAACGUAGGGAAACUUACGCUAAUACCGCAUACGACCUACGGGUGAAAGCAGGGGUUCUUCGGACCUUGCGCGAUUGAAUGAGCCGAUGUCGGAUUAGCUAGUUGGCGGGGUAAAGGCCUACCAAGGCGACGAUCCGUAGCUGGUCUGAGAGGAUGAUCGGCGACACUGGAGCGGAGACGCGGUCCAGACUCCUACGGGAGGCAGCAGUGGGGAAGAAUGGACAAUGGGGGGAAGCAGGAUCCAGCCAUGCCGCGGGGGUGAAGAAGGCCUUCGGGUUGUAGAGCCCUUUUGUUGGGAGAGAAAAGCAGCUGGUUAAUACGCCGCUGUGCUGACGGUACCCAAAGAAGAAGCACCGGCUAACUUCGUG
Molecule: ribosomal RNA, 492 nt
Filed under: uncultured bacterium
Lineage: Bacteria
Description: partial 16S ribosomal RNA
Rfam family: Bacterial small subunit ribosomal RNA
Source: RNAcentral